RNAcentral lists this transfer RNA (71 nucleotides) under Pseudanabaenococcus habilitatus PCC 7502. Its description in RNAcentral is "Synechococcus sp. PCC 7502 tRNA-OTHER". The record is from RNAcentral. Lineage: Bacteria; Bacillati; Cyanobacteriota; Cyanophyceae; Pseudanabaenales; Pseudanabaenaceae.
UGUCUAGAAGUUAGUGUUAGAGCACCGCCCUGUCACGGCGGAAGUUGCGGGUUCGAGCCCCGUCAAUCCCG